AGGUCUCCUUUGCUCCACCAACAAGGACCACUUGACCAUAUGAUGGGGAAUUAAACCAGCUAUUUAAAAUAUUUUGAGUUACGAUCUGUGGAAUCAAACCUGCUGAGUUACGAUCUGUGGAAUCAAACCUGCUGAGUCAAAACUAUUUAAAAUAUUUUGAGUUAUGAUCUAUGCAGCAGAAGAGAUGCUAUAUAUACUUAAAUUAUUGUCAUCCUAAUGCGAUAGAAUUUAAGUCCAAAAUAUCACAGGACGAAACAGUCUGUUGGAAGUCACUGCUAACAUAUUUUGUGUAUGAUGUGUGUAGUAUUGCUACUAAUGCAGUUCAUACUUCAUCUGUGUGUCUAUUGCUUUUUGUUUACUCAUAAUUUUUUUUGCAAAUACUUAAAUAUGGAAAACUUCUUUGACUUCGUUUUUUGCAAAU
This 421-nucleotide long non-coding RNA is filed under the name Zostera marina. Its description in RNAcentral is "long non-coding RNA (ZMAR_LNC003082)". Lineage: Eukaryota; Viridiplantae; Streptophyta; Magnoliopsida; Alismatales; Zosteraceae. The record is from RNAcentral.